AUACUACUCCCUUCGUCCGAAAAAACUUGUCGUAAAAAUGAAUAUAAAGGAUGUAUCUAGAAUUGAAAUACAUCUAGAUACAUCCAUUCUGCGGACAAGUAUUUUUUGACGGAGGGAGUAGUAG
Triticum aestivum (bread wheat) is the source of this 124-nucleotide non-coding RNA. Lineage: Eukaryota; Viridiplantae; Streptophyta; Magnoliopsida; Poales; Poaceae. The record is from Rfam.